This 492-nucleotide ribosomal RNA is filed under the name uncultured bacterium. Its description in RNAcentral is "partial 16S ribosomal RNA". It matches the Rfam family "Bacterial small subunit ribosomal RNA", at positions 29 to 507 of the family's 1533-position model. The record is from RNAcentral.
AGUGAACGCUGGCGGUAUGCCUAACACAUGCAAGUCGAACGGCAGCACAGUAAGAGCUUGCUCUUACGGGUGGCGAGUGGCGGACGGGUGAGGAAUACAUCGGAAUCUACUUUUUCUUGGGGGAUAACGUAGGGAAACUUACGCUAAUACCGCAUACGACCUACGGGUGGAAGCAGGGGAUCUUCGGACCUUUCGCGAUUGAAUGAGCCGAUGUCGGAUUAGCUAGUUGGCGGGGUAAAGGCCCACCAAGGCGACGAUCCGUAGCUGGUCUGAGAGGAUGAUCAGCCACACUGGAACUGAGACACGGUCCAGACUCCUACGGGAGGCAGCAGUGGGGAAUAUUGGACAAUGGGCGCAAGCCUGAUCCAGCCAUACCGCGUGGGUGAAGAAGGCCUUCGGGUUGUAAAGCCCUUUUGUUGGGAAAGAAAAGCAGCAGGUUAAUACCCCGCUGUUCUGACGGUACCCAAAGAAUAAGCACCGGCUAACUUCGUG